CGUAGGGUGCGAGCGUUAAUCGGAAUUACUGGGCGUAAAGCGUGCGCAGGCGGUUUGUUAAGAUAGGCGUGAAACCCCCGGGCUCAACCUGGGAACUGCGCUUAUGACUGGCAAGCUAGAGUACGGCAGAGGGGGGUGGAAUUCCACGUGUAGCAGUGAAAUGCGUAGAGAUGUGGAGGAACACCAAUGGCGAAGGCAGCCCCCUGGGUCGAUACUGACGCUCAUGCACGAAAGCGUGGGUAGCAAACAGGAUUAGAUACCCUGGUAGUCCACGCCCUAAACGAUGUCAACUAGGUGUUGGAUGGGUAAAACCAUUUAGUACCGGAGCUAACGCGUGAAGUUGACCGCCUGGGGAGUACGGCCGCAAGGUUA
RNAcentral lists this ribosomal RNA (372 nucleotides) under uncultured organism. RNAcentral's name for it is "bacterial SSU rRNA". It matches the Rfam family "Bacterial small subunit ribosomal RNA", at positions 526 to 896 of the family's 1533-position model. The record is from RNAcentral.